UGGGGAAUAUUGCACAAUGGAGGGAACUCUGAUGCAGCGACGCCGCGUGAACGAAGAAGGCUUUCGAUUCGUAAAGUUCUUUUAUAUGGGAAGAUAAUGACGGUACCAUAAGAAAAAGCCCCGGCUAACUACGUGCAAGCAGCCGCGGAAAUACGUAGGGGGCUAGCGUUGUCCGGAAUCACUGGGCGUAAAGGGUUCGCAGGCGGAAAUGCAAGUCAGGUGUAAAAGGCAGUAGCUUAACUACUGUAAGCAUUUGAAACUGCAUAUCUUGAGAGGAGUAGAGGUAAGUGGAAUUUUUAGUGUAGCGGUGAGAUGCGUAGAUAUUAAAAAGAAUACCGGUGGCGAAGGCGGCUUACUGGGCUCAUUCUGACGCUGAGGAACGAGAGAGUGGGUAGCAAGCAGG
This 403-nucleotide ribosomal RNA is filed under the name bacterium. RNAcentral describes it as "partial 16S ribosomal RNA". It matches the Rfam family "Bacterial small subunit ribosomal RNA", at positions 355 to 776 of the family's 1533-position model. The record is from RNAcentral.